Protobothrops mucrosquamatus (brown spotted pit viper) is the source of this 232-nucleotide long non-coding RNA. RefSeq lists it as uncharacterized. Lineage: Eukaryota; Metazoa; Chordata; Lepidosauria; Squamata; Viperidae. The transcript is spliced from 3 exons. The record is from RefSeq and is a predicted model, not a curated record.
CCCCCAUGAUAUGACCAAGAUUCAUGCGUUGAUCACAGGUCCCUUUGACACGCCUUACGAAGGGGGUUUCUUCUUGUUCCUGUUUCGCUGUCCUCCAGAUUAUCCUAUCCAUCCGCCGCGGGUCAAACUGAUGACAACUGGGAAUAAUACAGUGAGGUUUAACCCUAACUUCUACCGAAAUGGGAAGGUCUGCCUCAGUAUUCUAGGCACGUGGACUGGUCCAGCCUGGAGU